This is a non-coding RNA of Phrynosoma platyrhinos (Desert horned lizard), 72 nucleotides long. Lineage: Eukaryota; Metazoa; Chordata; Lepidosauria; Squamata; Phrynosomatidae. The record is from the annotation of a GenBank genome assembly.
UGCAUUGUGGAGUAGUGGUUUGAGUGUUGGACUACUACUCUGGGGACCAAGGUUCAAAUCCCUGCUUGGCAA